Molecule: unclassified non-coding RNA, 200 nt
Filed under: Oryza sativa (Asian cultivated rice)
Lineage: Eukaryota; Viridiplantae; Streptophyta; Magnoliopsida; Poales; Poaceae
Description: partial microRNA miR396d precursor
Source: RNAcentral
AAAGAUGUGCGGGCAUGCUUUCCACAGGCUUUCUUGAACUGUGAACUCGUGGGGGUGUAUGUGCUCAUGUUGGGAUUGUGGUCGGUGGCCUCCAAUUCUCUGAAAAGAAAGCUGAAUUGUCGAGCUCCCCGUUCUGUCUUUGGUCGUCUCUACCUGUUGAUGGUUCAAGAAAGCCCAUGGAAACCAUGCCGCGUCUUUGU